UUCAAUACUCAUGUUUUGUUUUUCCUUUUUUCUCAUCCUGAGUUAAUGUUGUUGUUGUUCUCAUUCAGUUUUUCUUUCCACUCACUCACUUCUCACUUUCACACACUCCUCUAUCUCUUUCUCUCUCCUCUGUCACCCACCUCUCUUUAAUUCCCCAUGAAACCGUUGAACGUUUUUCAACUCUUACUGGCUUCUUCAUAAGCCUCUUCCACCACCAUCACCACAUCUCUUUUUGAUUCUCUCUCCUCUCAUUUCUAGGUGGUAUCAAUAUUGGGGGGUUCAAAGAUUGUGAAACAACUUGAAGUAAAUGCAUGGAUCGAGGAGAUCAAAUGGCAUUAUCUGGUUCUGCAUCUUACUAUAUGCAGAGAGGAAUACCUGGUGCUGGAACACAACCUGAAUUGCAUAAUUCACCUAGUAUGCGUCCACUGUCUAAUCCCAAUCUACCAUUUCCAACAAACAUUGGGGGUGGUAGUACAAUUGGAUCCACAUUACCAUUAGAAUCUUCAGGAAUUUCUUCUCCAUGUGUCAAUGUGAGUGCUCCUUCCGGUGCUGUGCCCGGCGAAACUGUCAAAAGGAAGAGAGGGAGGCCUAGAAAAUAUGGCCCUGAUGGAACCGUGUCAUUGGCAUUGACUCCGACGCCGGCUAGCCAUCCCGGAGCCUUGACACAAGGCCAGAAACGCGGUAGAGGUCGCCCGCCGGGGUCUGGGAAGAAGCAGCAAUUGGCUUCUCUUGGUCAAUUGAUGUCUGGUUCAGCUGGGAUGGGUUUCACUCCUCAUAUCAUCACCAUUGCAAUUGGAGAAGACAUUGCAACGAAACUCGUGGCAUUUUCUCAACAGGGGCCUAGAGCUAUAUGUAUUUUGUCAGCCAAUGGUGCUGUUUCUACUGUGACACUUCGUCAGCCUUCAACCUCAGGUGGCACUGUCACAUAUGAGUUCCCAGUUUCAGAUUUUACUCAACUUUUCUCAAACCAAGCAGCAUCUAAAGUGGUUCAGGACCUGUUUAUUUUCUUUUGUUUCUUUUUUCUAUCUCUUUAUCAAGUAGAGGUUAUCUAUCUUUAUUUAUCUAUCAACAGGGGCGUUUUGAGAUAUUGUGCCUGUCUGGCUCUUACUUGGUUGCUGAUAGUGGUGGUCCCCGUGGUCGAACGGGUGGAUUAAGUGUUUCCCUUGCAAGUCCUGAUGGCCGUGUCAUUGGUGGAGGAGUUGGUGGAGUGCUGAUUGCAGCCAGUCCGGUUCAGGUGAUAGUUGGGAGCUUUAUUUGGGGUGGAUCAAAGACAAAGAUCAAGAAAAAAGAAAGUUCUGAAGCUGCAGAAGUUGCUAUAGAGACGGAUCAUCAGGUGGUUCAUAAUCCAGUUGCAGUGAAUAGCAUUUCACCAAAUCAGAAUCUUACCCCAACCUCUUCUUUAAGUCCUUGGCCUGCAUCGCGUCCAUUGGACAUGCGCAAUUCCCAUAUUGAUAUUGAUUUAAUGCGUGGGUGACGAUUUAUUUAGCUCACAACUAGUACUGAGUAUAUAUUUCAGAUUCAUGGUCACUCAUCUAAUUUUCCUGUAGUAGUAAUGACAGCAUGGGAAGUACCAACAGCAGAGUAGAAGCCAGCUGACUUUUGGAAUUUGAUAAAAUGCCACCUAUCCACCUAUGAUAUCAUUGACUUUAGGGUACUCAUAUUUUUGUAGCUGUGAGGAAUUUUAAUUUGAAGAUUUUGUGGUCUUGAUUAAGUACACUGUUGUUUAUAUCCUUUGGAAGAAUUUGACAGUGAGCUGUGGUGUAGGGGCAUAUAUUAUGAUAUCAUCUCAUGUGAUUUUUGUUGUUGAACUGUUGUUUCUUGAAAUGCAAUGACAAGGGUGCAUGAAGGUUUACUCAUGGGAAUACAUGAUAGGAAGUGUUGUGUA
RNA transcript from Abrus precatorius (Indian licorice), 1885 nucleotides. It is a transcript of the gene named AT-hook motif nuclear-localized protein 9-like, with no coding region annotated. NCBI's taxonomy places the organism in Eukaryota, Viridiplantae, Streptophyta, Magnoliopsida, Fabales, Fabaceae. The transcript has 6 exons. The record is from RefSeq and is a predicted model, not a curated record.